CCUACGGGAGGCAGCAGUGGGGGAUAUUGCACAAUGGGGGAAACCCUGAUGCAGCGACGCCGCGUGUGGGAAGACGGUCCUCUGGAUUGUAAACCACUGUCCCCAGGGACGAAGAUGACGUUACCUGGGGAGGAAGCUCCGGCUAACUACGUGCCAGCAGCCGCGGUAAUACGUAGGGAGCGAGCGUUGUCCGGAAUUACUGGGUGUAAAGGGAGCGUAGGCGGGACUGCAAGUUGGGUGUCAAAUCUACGGGCUCAACCGGUAGCCGCACUCAAAACUGCAGUUCUUGAGUGAAGUAGAGGCAGGCGGAAUUCCUAGUGUAGCGGUGAAAUGCGUAGAUAUUAGGAGGAACACCAGUGGCGAAGGCGGCCUGCUGGGCUUUUACUGACGCUGAGGCUCGAAAGUGUGGGGAGCAAACAGGAUUAGAUACCCUUGUAGUC
RNAcentral lists this ribosomal RNA (440 nucleotides) under uncultured bacterium. RNAcentral's name for it is "partial 16S ribosomal RNA". It matches the Rfam family "Bacterial small subunit ribosomal RNA", at positions 338 to 795 of the family's 1533-position model. The record is from RNAcentral.